GGCGUAUUUAUUAAAAAUAUAUUUUAAUUAUAGUGUAAUUAUAAUGUGGUGUAGUAAGUAACGUAAUUACCCUUAAAUUAUUUCAUUUGAACGAAAAAUUACAAAAUUGCUCUUCCCUUGAUUACAUAAGUGACAAUAUCAGUCUUUCUAAAAUGUGGAAAUAAUCACCUGGGCACGAGUGCAUCAGCAUUGAGUUCUCAACUUUUUCGUGAUCAUCACCCCAACCAGUGAGUCAUCACUCAUCUGGAGAAUUUCAUUCACGCUUUCUGUUGUUCUUGCUUCAUUAGUUGCAUGAAUUCCCCAAAUACUGCCACAGAAUAAUUUUGUUAG
This 330-nucleotide long non-coding RNA is filed under the name Olea europaea subsp. europaea. Lineage: Eukaryota; Viridiplantae; Streptophyta; Magnoliopsida; Lamiales; Oleaceae. The record is from RNAcentral.